Molecule: ribosomal RNA, 153 nt
Filed under: Archidendron contortum
Lineage: Eukaryota; Viridiplantae; Streptophyta; Magnoliopsida; Fabales; Fabaceae
Description: partial 5.8S ribosomal RNA
Rfam family: 5.8S ribosomal RNA
About the family: 5.8S ribosomal RNA (5.8S rRNA) is a component of the large subunit of the eukaryotic ribosome. It is transcribed by RNA polymerase I as part of the 45S precursor that also contains 18S and 28S rRNA.
Source: RNAcentral
AUAUCUCGGCUCUUGCAUCGAUGAAGAACGUAGCGAAAUGCGAUACUUGGUGUGAAUUGCAGAAUCCCGUGAACCAUCGAGUCUUUGAACGCAAGUUGCGCCCGAAGCCGUUAGGCCGAGGGCACGUCUGCCUGGGUGUCACGCAACGUCGCC